CAAUUCCAAAGACACAAAUGGGGUAGAAAUGACUUGGCCUUUUGAUCUAUUAGAUAUUAAGACUAAUGAAGAGGUCUGGGAUAAUUUCCAAGUUUCUGACUUAGAAAAUUUGGUGCCUCCUGGUGCCUUUAACAUGAUUAGGGCAAUUGGUGAGGAGGAGGGCUUGGGCACUCAAGAUGGAGACACACAACAGGCAGUUGCUACUACUCAAAUCUGAGAUCCAGAAAAUAGGUCAGGGAUUGAGGGAUACAGAUGGGCCAAGACCGAAGAAAACAGAACUCAGAUAUGGAGAUGGGGAGACCAUCCCCUGGGGCUAUGAUUAUAGCAGCUGGAUUCAGUUGGGUUGGAAGUUUAGGGAUGAUCUGGACUUUUAAAAUGCAAAAUAUAAGCCAGAUGCUGUGGCCCAUGCUUAUAAUCCUAGCUAUUCUAGACUGGAGCAUAUCAAAUCUAAGGUUUGCCUCAGCAACUUGGUGAGACUCUAUCUCAAAAAAUAAGGAUAGGUGUGGUAGUGCACACUGGUAAUCCCAGUAAUUCUGGAGGCUGAGGCAGGAGGAUUGCAGGUUCAAAGCCAGCCUCAGCAACUUAAUGAGGCCCUAAGCAACUUAGUCUCAAAAUAGAAAAGGCUAGGGAUGUGGCUCAGGGAUUAAGCAACCAUGAGUUCAAUCUCUGGUACGAAAUUAAGGGAAAAAAAAAAUAAAAAAGGACUGGGGAGGAUGUAGCUCAGCGGUAGAAUACCCCUAGAUUCAAUCCUCAGUACCAAAAAAAGAUGCAAAAUCUAAUACAUCCAUUUUCUUGGGGGCGGGGGGCAGGGUGGUGCGUGUACUAGGGAUUGAACCCAUCCCCAGCCCUUAUUUUUAGAUUUUGUUUUGAGACAGGGUCUCGAUAAGUCCCUUAGGGCCUUGAUUUGAAGUUGCUGAGGCUGACUUUGAACUCCUGCCACAGCCUCCCAGGCCACUGGGAUUACAGGUGUGAGCCAUCACUCCUGGCUACAUUCAUUUUUUUCUUUUUUUUUUCCCUUGAGCUAGGUUGACUCAGGCUUCUGUCACUUAUAGACAAAAAAAUUUUUACCUACCAAAAUAGAAAAACAUACCUUGAAUAGCAAGAAAGAUUGAGGAAACUAAAGAAUCUAAUAGAAAGGGAAUU
Molecule: long non-coding RNA, 1143 nt
Filed under: Marmota monax (woodchuck)
Lineage: Eukaryota; Metazoa; Chordata; Mammalia; Rodentia; Sciuridae
Source: RNAcentral